AUGGUGCUCUUGAGCAGAUAUGUGGUGGGAAGGGGUAUAUAGACAUGUCAACCGUUGAUGCUGAUACUUCUUCAAAGAUUAGUGAGGCCAUUACAUCAAAGGGUGGUUGUUUUGUUGAAGCUCCAGUUUCAGGGAGCAAAAAGCCAGCUGAAGAUGGC
Nicotiana attenuata is the source of this 158-nucleotide long non-coding RNA. RefSeq lists it as uncharacterized. The record is from RefSeq and is a predicted model, not a curated record. The transcript is spliced from 2 exons. NCBI's taxonomy places the organism in Eukaryota, Viridiplantae, Streptophyta, Magnoliopsida, Solanales, Solanaceae.